Molecule: non-coding RNA, 407 nt
Organism: Pelobates cultripes (western spadefoot toad)
Lineage: Eukaryota; Metazoa; Chordata; Amphibia; Anura; Pelobatidae
Source: the annotation of a GenBank genome assembly
CCCAGCGCUAGAGAAAGGUAAGUAUUUAACCCCCUUUAGAAAGGCUGGAGUGGGCAAGUUUGUUUUCCUGGCACUAUAGUGGUCCUUUAAGAAAGGUUUGGCAAUAUGUUAAAAAAAAAACGAAUUACAUUAACUUGUUGACUUUGAAGUCCUAUGAAUGUGUUCUUCACUGAAAGAAAGCAAUAUCUGGAUUAAAGUUUGGAUUAAAGUAUUUAAUCUUCCGGAAUAAUAAGCAUUGUUUGUUUGGGCCAUGAAGCCCCUUGAUAUUAAGUGAUGAUACCUUCAAUGCCAUUUUGACUAAGUGUAGUUUGAAACAAAGGCAGUGUUAGAGUCAUAGAGAUAACACCUCCGUGUUUAAGCAGAAUACCCCUUUUGGGCGAAUAUGCCUAUUACCCACCCUGUCUGCG